RNAcentral lists this ribosomal RNA (253 nucleotides) under uncultured bacterium. RNAcentral describes it as "partial 16S ribosomal RNA". It matches the Rfam family "Bacterial small subunit ribosomal RNA", at positions 524 to 776 of the family's 1533-position model. The record is from RNAcentral.
GACGGGGGGUCCUAGCGUUGUUCGGAAUCAUUGGGCGUAAAGCGUGUGCAGGUGGUUUGGUAAGUUGGAUGUGAAAGCCCCGAGCUUAACUCGGGAAGUGCAUUCAAAACUACCAAACUUGAGUAUGGAAGAGGGUUGUGGAAUUCCAGGUGUAGUGGUGAAAUACGUAGAUAUCUGGAGGAACACCGGCGGCGAAGGCGGCGACCUGGUCCUAUACUGACACUCAUACACGAAAGCGUGGGGAUCAAACAGG